Molecule: long non-coding RNA, 5015 nt
Organism: Hippocampus zosterae (dwarf seahorse)
Lineage: Eukaryota; Metazoa; Chordata; Actinopteri; Syngnathiformes; Syngnathidae
Exons: 2
Source: RefSeq, a predicted model, not a curated record
UGAAAUAAUCAAAAUUGCCCUGAUUGUUCAUAUGUAUACCCUCAGCUAGUUAGUUGGCGGAAUUGAACGAAAACUACACAAUCCAUUUCUUUACUCAUGAAUCAAUAUUAUUUUAAAAAUUGGAGAUGAUAGCAGAUAGUCCAGAUCAAAAAAUAAACAGACAAAACAUAACGAUCUCAAAACGGGCUGCACAACAAAACACAGACUACAAAAAUUUGCAAUAAAAUGAAUCAUGGAUAAGAUUUCCAAAAAUGUAGUGCAUAUGUCAAAUGUGUAUGGAUUAUCAACGUGAAAAAUGUAGACGCAUCAGAUACAUAUAUGAUUUACAGUAUAUCCACAUCCAAAAAAGGCAGAAUUUGAAAAAAAAUAUUAGGAUAUUUUACUGUUCACAUUCCAUGAAAAAAUCUAGAUACACAUUGCAUAAGGGCAAAAAAAAUUGGAAUUGAGCUGCAGUGUGGUAAAAAAACAAAAAACAACCUCAUUGUGUUUGGCUGUUUGUACCUGAGUUGAAAUGUGCAUUACUGCCACCUACAGGUCUGGAGUUGAACAGUAUGACAACGUUUCAAUUGUUUAAGAUUGUUUGGCAUCACGUGCGCCAUCCUAGGUAUUUUCAAUCAGCCAGACCUUUCGAUACAGCUCUUGUAUUGGAUCUCAUUUGAUUGUUUAGAUGUACCAAAUGUCGCCGACAAAUGUAUGUUAAAGCAAAAAGAGUGGGACUAUUCGGACUUGUGAAAAGAAGUGGCUAAGUUCAGUGCCUGAGGUGAAAUAGUCGAUUCGACUGAGAGGAUUUGUUCUGGUGAAUGGAAAGAACUUGAUGAUCUCAGACAUGAAGACAGGAGGAGGAGGAAGGAGGUGGAGUGAGACCAAAGGGAGGAAGUGAUCCAGAGUGGGAACUGUACUUGAUUUAAAUGUGACUGCACACCAUUUGUGCAUGCAUCUGACAAAAAUGAUCACACAUCAUGGACAUUUUAAAGCUUAUCAGGAUGAAAUUGGAUUACAAAAAAAAGACAAGUGCUUUCACACUUGCAGGAAUGUGGCACUGAAUCUUGCACUUGUCUGGGCAUGUUCGUGUUCAUGUGAGAUUGAUGUCUCUGGGCAGCUGUGCCAGUAUUAAGUUGCCGCACGCUAGUCUCCAGUGAACAGGAAACCAGCAAGUUUUAAUUAUUUGAGAAUCAAAUCAGGCAAUCAAAUAUAAGGAAAGAAUAGGCAACUCAAUGUUCCAUCCAUCCAUUUUCCACAGCACUUUGUCUUCAUUUUUGUUGCACGUGAGCUAGAGCAAGCAGACUGGUCACCCGGGCACAUACAGUAGAGAUCAACAAGUUUCAAAAUUGGAACCUCCCAACUGUGAGGCAGACUUGCUUCCCACUAGCUCACCGUGCUGCCUAAUGCAAUGUUAAGAGUGCUUAUUAAAGCCAUACAUUGUCAGACAAACGUUUCCGUUGCAUUGAGUAGUCUGCAGUGUGUUAAGCUCCACCAUUUCGCGACGGCUGGCACUCCAGAACAGAAAAACACAAAACAAUGAAAGGGCAAACAAGAGUCUUUAAAGGGAACUUUAUAACAGAACAUUUUUCAUUGUGUGACCGUUAUUAGAUGUCUCAAUAACCUUUUCACAUUUUUAAAUGGCGUCAUAAGAGAAGUUAACUGUAAAAAUAAAUCAGAAAAUAAACUAAAAUAAAGUCAAGCCACUCGCCCUUCGAAAAUGUUCAACAGGCACUAUGAGGAGGGAAUAGGAUGCUGUUGUGCUGAAGUCUUAAAAGAUAUGUCAUAGAUGAUGGUGCUUUGAAUUCCAACUUUUUUGUUCAAUGCAUAUUUUCCCCAGACUAUUUCACCCUUUCAGGGACAGUGGUCACUACAGUGGACAGCUUAUCGUGUUAUCAAGUCACAGGUUAUCAUUAUUGAUGCACGAAAGGGUUAAGGUUCAACUCCACUCUACUGUAUUCACAAAAUGUAGUCCUCUGAACAGUCACUCCCUUUAUGAGCAUAAAUUGCUUCAUUGCAGCUCGGCGGUCUCGGUGAUGAGUUUUAGCAUCUUAUCCACAGGCUAAUAAAUUAUUUAGUGCAUGCAAAAGGCUAGAACUCCUUCAGCGAUGGCUCCUUUUAUUUCUAUGUUCUCUUUCAUUGUGCUCAAAAUCGAUACGGUUACUUGACCCCCAUAAGGAAUCUCUGCCGGCAGCUGCUCAAGGCUUUAAAAAUCUGCUCCGGUCUACCACAAAAACAUGUGUCGUAAUGUCGGAGGAAUGUUGGGUAACGCUGAUAGCACUGGCUCGCUGUGAUAAACAACAAAAAGGUCAACCUGAGACAGUUGCUUCAUCCGUGGAGCCAUUGUUGCCGCAUUCCGCCAGCCGGGGUAGAAAAUCAAUGGUUGAUGAUAUUUCCAGUAUUACAUGUAACCUGACAUCGCAAGUCCCACUGAAAGGAAUACUGAGAUUUUGACAUCCAACCAAAAUGUCAAAGAAAGAAAUCAGUCGGGGACAUGAUGUUGGCUAAAAUAUUACAAUCUACCAUAGCGCAGUCCAUUGUACCAUAGUACUUUAAUGUGCCGUGGUGGUUUAUAUUAUUAUUAUACAUAUUUACUGCUCAUAAUGCUACUGUGAUAUUACAUCUGUUAACUGGUUGUAGGAGGAACCCAGAGAUGCCCAGUUUAGAUUCAACACUGCAACGUUUUGACUGUUGUGUGGCAAACGUGCUACAAAUUCACUGUACUGCAAUGUGUUUUUAUAUAGCAUGAGAUGUUUCUAUAAUUCUGAUAUGAUAGAUGUAGUAUGAAAGGGGGAGUUGGAAUUUUCCCAAAAAAUAGCAACAGCAACAACAAUGACAACAUUUUUGUCAUACCUGUUUAGACAGACAUAAGAUAAAUACAAAUACCGGUAGGUAAAAAAAAAAAAAGUGUGAAAACGGGACUUACUGCACUUAGGCCAAGCUAACUCUGGGUUAUUAAUUUCACCCAAUGCUGAUGAUAAUGAUUAGCAGUCGUUCAAUAAAUUGAUUUCCACAAUGAGUGUCCCAUGUUGGCGUCGUAUUUAUGAAUACAGUAAAACACCAUGAGGUCCACCACGUACUUCAGCGCUGAAACUCUCUGACUGCACCUCGAUGAGUUUUUUUGAAGUUUUUGUCACCAAAUCGCGAGAUGCACCAAGGGGCGCAGUAGGUACAUCCAGUGAGGCAUAGCGUGUCUACCAAAUUCACAAACACAAACAAAAUGAGACCGUUGCACGAAAAUGAAGAUGCACCCAUUAUUUGUGCAAAGUGCAGACCACUUUCUGUCACCAAAUUAUCAGGUGCGUCGAGGGUGAGGCUGCUUUGUGCGCUGGCACGCCCAUACAGGCACAACACAGCCCCAGACACGCCAGGCUAGAGAUGAGCUGGCAAGUUACGCCCACUUUUAUGCCGAGCGCAUGCUAGUCUACCAAAAUGGGGCCCAAAACGUUAGCGCUUUAAAGUUGUAUGUUUUGCUGUCUGUGACACAAAAAAAAAAAUCUUUUUAAAUUCUCAAAUGGGCACAGCCCAUGCACCAAAUGCCCUCCAAUGUCUCUCAGCAUUCAUAUAACAUUUCCUUGUGCAUCAUCAGACAUUUAAGGGCAGUUUUCUAUUGUUUUUAUAUUUGACUGAAUUAUUCAAAUCUUGUCAAAUUCUAGCAAGCCUACAACUGGCAACACACAAAGCACUGUGCGGGCUGUGCCCUCCCGUGCCUACUGAACUGGUAUCAGUGUUUUACCAAAAAACUGGCUCAGUUCAGCAGGAACAGGAGUGGAGCCUAAUCUCAAGAAGGAAUGACCUCACCGGCGUCCAACGAGCGAGACGAACAGCAUUUGGAUCACAAGCUCCCAACCAUCACAUCGCACUGCGCCACGAGUUCUUGGCCCUGAUCAGACCCAAGAUGACAGCACUGAGGCCACAAGUGUUCACAAGGCCGUUGCAGCUGCAGAUGACUGUCACAGCAGCUAUGAAUGUUUCAUGAGCUGAGUAUUUUGUUCCUUGAUAGGUAGCAUCUGCACACUUGCGUGAAUACUGUUACAUAUAAAUGUGGUUGAUUUGCUUGCUCUCAUGUUUUUUUCAACAUCUUUCCCCAGGCGAGACAAAAUCUCACUGCGCUCUUUGUUUCUGGAUGGUUUUCUCAGUUUUUGAGCCUGGUGAUUCUUAAAGCGUGGUACUUACCACUGGUGGUAUGCAGGCUCCCUCUCAUGAUAACUGAAAAAAAUCACUGUCUAAGUACAGUUCAGUUGUAUUUAACUUUGGUCCAAUACAUUUGAAUUUCACAACAAGUCGUCGGCAACUUUAUUGAGUGUUUUCUUGUAAGGCUUUCAAACGGGUCAUUGUGCCACAUUGCAUCAUUGAAGUAUUGGCCAUUGUCCCACUUUUUGUUCAACUACUAAGGCGUAUGAUAUCCGGGUGCUUUCUCUGUGUGUAUUUCUGUUCACUUCAUGUUUUGUCAAUUCAAGUACAGUAUUGCCAGACAAUGCUGUUACUGGAUGCAGCACUUCCUUGAGUGAAUCUUUUCCGCAGCCGAGCACAUACACUGACAGAAUGACUGUUUAUUGUUGAGCUGCAGUAUAAAUUUAGUUUUUUUUCACUAGAAGGUGUGAAGAGGCUACUGUAUAUAACAUGACUUGUAGUGACUUAAAUGUUAUUACACUCAAUCAAAGAGAAGAGUGAUGUUUAAUGUCAAGGUAUCCAUUUUAUUUUGGGGGUUCUCUGACUGUAAAUCAGGCAGAUGUAUUUUUUGGUUUAAUAUUUUGGAUUAACUGGAGUGACAUGGUUUUCUAUGGGAAAUACUGAUUUGGUUUUCAUACAGUUUGGUUUUAGUCCGAUGUUCCACUUAGGACUAUAGACUUUCUCACUUUUAAUGAACACUAGGGCCUAUUAUGCCACUGCACUUUAAUGUUGAUCAUAAUGCUGGUAAUUGGAGAGUCAAAUAGUGUAUUAUUUGUUUAAGUGGAUCUGUACUUGUAAAGAGUUUCAGAAACACUGCUAUAACCCUUUUCAAACUAUUAAAGGCACAGACUGAAACCUCGAAA